UUAAAUAGACACUGCUAGCUGGUUAGAUUUUUUGACAAAAUGCAGCAUCCUUAAAUCCUUAGUUGUAAACCAGCUAGCCUAUAUAUGCAGCCUUUUUGAAAUAUGCUGUUUAAAUGGUAAAUUAAUCACGUAAUUAUUAUCGUAUUCAUUGUGGACGUUGCGUAUUUAAAAGUGAGGAAAGCGUUUUGUAUGAAAUCCAUAGGCCUACAAGCGCAGUAAGUUAGUCCCUCACAGGGCUCGCACGUAAAUCGGCGGGAAAUAGUGAGUGAGUUGUGUGUGGAAAGUCUGCUGUAUUUUAGAAAUACUCGUCAGAAAAAGCAACUGAGCUGCUAAAGAGGAGACAGCUUUGAAGGUCCUGCCAACUCUGCUUCCCCCAUCCAUCUACAGGAGAGGAGGAAAGGUCUUCAGACCCACCACAGAGGAGGCCCAGAAGUCAUUUAUUGACAUGCAACCUGUUGGGACCAUGAGAUGACUGGAGCAUUGCU
RNAcentral lists this long non-coding RNA (485 nucleotides) under Carassius auratus (goldfish). RNAcentral describes it as "lncRNA (ENSCARG00000025155.1)". The record is from RNAcentral. Lineage: Eukaryota; Metazoa; Chordata; Actinopteri; Cypriniformes; Cyprinidae.